AUACAACGGCAAUUGGCUGUCGGCUAGUGAGCGGUAGUGAGUCCAUUGAUCUCCGUUUUCUUUUGAUUUGUUCUAAGUUUCAGCAGAUUAAGAAUCACCAAAGGCGAACACACUGCUCCUGUGCGUUCUUAAUUUCCAUUACAAAGCGUCCAACGGGCCCUUUUUUACGGGCAUAAAGCUCGUUAGUUUCCGCCAUCUUUUCGGCCACUAGCCGUACACUUUCGGUGUGGAUUACCGCUAGGUCCGUCAGUUUUCUGGUAGCUAAACGGGGAGAGAGGAAUAUUACUGGCCUGCUUGCGUUCGUUCGUGGACGACCUGGUAGAGUACCGGUCUCGCUGACACCCUCCCCCGCAACUCUAACUCGGCCUGUAAAGCGAUUAAUUCCCUGGCAACACCGACCGCCUCGAGGUAUCCGGGCUCGACCGCCCCUGGUGACCAGAACAGCUACACCGUCUCACCACAGGUCAUCGAACGCUAUCCGUGCACCCCCGG
Long non-coding RNA from Armigeres subalbatus, 492 nucleotides. RefSeq lists it as uncharacterized. The transcript has 3 exons. The record is from RefSeq and is a predicted model, not a curated record. Lineage: Eukaryota; Metazoa; Arthropoda; Insecta; Diptera; Culicidae.